Molecule: ribosomal RNA, 548 nt
Filed under: uncultured bacterium
Lineage: Bacteria
Description: partial 16S ribosomal RNA
Source: RNAcentral
UAACCUUGCGGCCGUACUCCCCAGGCGGUCAACUUCACGCGUUAGCUUCGUUACUGAGUCAGUGAAGGCCCAACAACCAGUUGACAUCGUUUAGGGCGUGGACUACCAGGGUAUCUAAUCCUGUUUGCUCCCCACGCUUUCGUGCAUGAGCGUCAGUACAGGUCCAGGGGAUUGCCUUCGCCAUCGGUGUUCCUCCGCAUAUCUACGCAUUUCACUGCUACACGCGGAAUUCCAUCCCCCUCUACCGUACUCUAGCUAUGCAGUCACAAAUGCAGGUCCCAGGUUGAGCCCGGGGAUUUCACAUCUGUCUUACAUAACCGCCUGCGCACGCUUUACGCCCAGUAAUUCCGAUUAACGCUCGCACCCUACGUAUUACCGCGGCUGCUGGCACGUAGUUAGCCGGUGCUUAUUCUUACGGUACCGUCAUUAGCCCCUUGUAUUAGAAAGGACCGUUUCGUUCCGUACAAAAGCAGUUUACAACCCGAAGGCCUUCAUCCUGCACGCGGCAUUGCUGGAUCAGGCUUGCGCCCAUUGUCCAAAAUUCCCCA